AGUGAACGCUGGCGGUAGGCCUAACACAUGCAAGUCGAACGGCAGCACAGUAAGAGCUUGCUCUUACGGGUGGCGAGUGGCGGACGGGUGAGGAAUACAUCGGAAUCUACUUUUUCGUGGGGGAUAACGUAGGGAAACUUACGCUAAUACCGCAUACGACCUACGGGUGAAAGCAGGGGAUCUUCAGACCUUGCGCGAUUGAAUGAGCCGAUGUCGGAUUAGCUAGUUGGCGGGGUAAAGGCCCACCAAGGCGACGAUCCGUAGCUGGUCUGAGAGGAUGCUCAGCCACACUGGAACUGAGACACGGUCCAGACUCCUACGGGAGGCAGCAGUGGGGAAUAUUGGACAAUGGGCGCAAGCCUGAUCCAGCCAUACCGCGUGGGUGAAGAAGGCCUUCGGGUUGUAAAGCCCUUUUGUUGGGAAAGAAAAGCAGCAGGUUAAUACCCCGCUGUUCUGACGGUACCCAAAGAAUAAGCACCGGCUAACUUCGUG
RNAcentral lists this ribosomal RNA (492 nucleotides) under uncultured bacterium. RNAcentral's name for it is "partial 16S ribosomal RNA". It matches the Rfam family "Bacterial small subunit ribosomal RNA", at positions 29 to 507 of the family's 1533-position model. The record is from RNAcentral.